This 839-nucleotide long non-coding RNA is filed under the name Cottoperca gobio. RNAcentral's name for it is "lncRNA (ENSCGOG00000000975.1)". Lineage: Eukaryota; Metazoa; Chordata; Actinopteri; Perciformes; Bovichtidae. The record is from RNAcentral.
AGUAGACCAGACUGUUGAAGUGCAUCCCACCUCCAACCCGAGAGAAUUCAGAUUCAGCAUGGAGGCCUUCAAGUUCAUCGGCUUGAAUGACCAGGUGUACAUCAGCUGUUCAGUCCUGAUGUGUGAGGCAGGGAGCCACGGCACCAGGUGCUCGCAGGGAUGCAUCAACACUCCCUCAUUGCCAACCGGUCUUCACCACCACCGAAAGAGAGAGGCUCACGCUCAGAGUUCAAGGCACUUUGUUUCCCAGGGUCCCCUGCGUUUAAAGAGAUCAGCAGAAAGCACCGGGAGCGCAGCGGUCAACCUGAAUCUGAACCUGGUAUUCAUCGCUGGAUGUCUUCUUGCAGCUGUCGGCAUGAUCAGUGCAGUGGUUCUGUACAAAGUCAGAAUGUCAAAGGUGAAAUACCAACCGUUACCCACAGAUGAACGUUAAGAAAGCGGCAUGUGCAGAAUACAAUUUUAGUAUUAACGACAUUUAACAACAAGCUUUUUUAAAUUGGUUUUGCUAUCAGAUAUUGGGUGUUCAUGUUUCUUAUGUGCAAAUUUAAAUAAAACAUUUAAUGUCAACACUUUUAGAAAUACUUAAGUGAAGAAGAAUCUGUACCUGUGCAAAUAGGAAGUUUUAUAUGAAUCAACACUGAGGAUGUUCAAGCACUGCAGCUGCUGAUUGUUUACUUGUGAAGUUUACUGUUUACCCCGAGAUCCCAUGUGCCUUUACAGAUGCUUCUGCUAUUAUGUAUUGCAUGACAAAAGGAUUGACCUAACUGAUGAUACACGUGCUUAAUGAUCAAUAAAAACAUAUAUUCUCUUACAUAUCUUUUUGUUUUUGUCCACUUUAU